This 253-nucleotide ribosomal RNA is filed under the name uncultured bacterium. RNAcentral's name for it is "partial 16S ribosomal RNA". It matches the Rfam family "Bacterial small subunit ribosomal RNA", at positions 524 to 776 of the family's 1533-position model. The record is from RNAcentral.
UACAGAGGGUGCAAGCGUUGUUCGGAAUUAUUGGGCGUAAAGGGCGCGUAGGCGGUGCGGUAAGUCUGCAGUGAAAUCUCUGGGCUCAACUCAGAGUCUGCUGUAGAAACUGCCGUGCUUGAGUGUGGGAGAGGUGAGUGGAAUUCCCGGUGUAGCGGUGAAAUGCGUAGAUAUCGAGAGGAACACCAGUGGCGAAGGCGAGUCUCUGGACGACUCCUGACACUGAGGCACGAAAGCCAGGGGAGCAAACAGG